RNAcentral lists this long non-coding RNA (556 nucleotides) under Homo sapiens (human). Its description in RNAcentral is "HSALNT0077463". The record is from RNAcentral. Lineage: Eukaryota; Metazoa; Chordata; Mammalia; Primates; Hominidae.
AAAAUCCAAGUGCACAGCCUGAGGUCAUCAACAAAGUUUCCAAACAGAGUGGGAAGAAAUAGACAGGAAACAAAGACAGAAUAGAAGGAGCAAUUUAAGUGCCAGGAUUCAAAACCAAGUUGAAAGUGAGUGGCAGAAGGUCAAGUCAAAAGUAUUAGGCAUAUGUCAGUGCACAGUUACUAGGAGAGAGCAGGCUUCUGUAAAACCAGGGAAGCACAAUAGGAUUCUGAUGAAGAUCGGAGACAGAGAUCAACUGCCAUGGCCUUUAUACACAAUAUGGUUACAGUCCUGAUGUUGGUUGUGCUGCAUUGUCAUCUGGUGGCUCACUUGGGAGAGAAAAACUGUUCCCAGUCUCAUUAAUCCUAUAUGAAUAGAAAUACAAGGAAAACAUGAUUUAACAGUAGGGAAACAUAAAGAAGAUACAACAAUUUUAUUUCUCCUGGUGAUGUUUCUUUGCAAGUGGCUUUGGUCAAAGAGAAGAUGGAAUCUCACUCUGUUGCCAGGCUGGAGUGCAGCAGCGCGAUCUCGGCUCACUGCCACCUCUGCCUCCCGGGUU